UGGGAUGUGGCUCAAGCGGUAGCGCGCUCGCCUGGCACGCGAGCGGCCUGGGUUCGAUCCCCAGCACCACAU
This 72-nucleotide transfer RNA is filed under the name Marmota monax (woodchuck). It matches the Rfam family "tRNA". From Rfam's summary of the family: Transfer RNA (tRNA) molecules are approximately 80 nucleotides in length. The record is from Rfam by way of RNAcentral. Lineage: Eukaryota; Metazoa; Chordata; Mammalia; Rodentia; Sciuridae.